GAUGAACGCUGGCGGCGUGCUUAACACAUGCAAGUCGAACGAAGCAUUUAAGACAGAUUCCUUCGGUUUGAAGUCUUUUAUGACUGAGUGGCGGACGGGUGAGUAACGCGUGGGUAACCUGCCUCAUACAGGGGGAUAGCAGCUGGAAACGGCUGGUAAUACCGCAUAAGCGCACAGUACCACAUGGUACAGUGUGAAAAACUCGGGUGGUAUGAGAUGGACCCGCGUCUGAUUAGCUUGUUGGCGGGGUAACGGCCCACCAAGGCGACGAUCAGUAGCCGACCGGGGAGGGUGCCCGGCCAGAUUGGGACUGAGACACGGCCCAGACUGCUACGGGAGGCAGCAGUGGGGAAUAUUGCACAAUGGAGGAAACUCUGAUGCAGCGACGCCGCGUGAGUGAAGAAGUGGUUCGCAAUGUAAAGCUCUAUCAGCAGGGAAGAUAGUGACGGUACCUGACGAAGAAGCACCGGCUAACUACGUG
This 481-nucleotide ribosomal RNA is filed under the name uncultured bacterium. RNAcentral's name for it is "partial 16S ribosomal RNA". It matches the Rfam family "Bacterial small subunit ribosomal RNA", at positions 28 to 507 of the family's 1533-position model. The record is from RNAcentral.